AGAGUUUGAUCAUGGCUCAGGAUGAACGCUGGCGGAGUGCCUAACACAUGCAAGUCGAGCGGCAGCGCGAGUAGUUUACUACUUGGCGGCGAGCGGCGGACGGCUGAGUAACGCGUGGGAACAUGCCCCAAAGUGAGGAAUAACUGCCCGAAAGGGUAGCUAAUGCCGCAUACGAUCUUCGGAUUAAAGGAUUUAUCCGCUUUGGGAGUGGCCUGCGUACGAUUAGAUAGUUGGUGAGGUAAUGGCUCACCAAGUCUACGAUCGAUAACUGGUUUGAGAGGAUGAUCAGUCAGACUGGAACUGAGACACGGUCCAGACUCCUACGGGAGGCAGCAGUGAGGAAUCUUCCACAAUGGACGAAAGUCUGAUGGAGCAACUCCGCGUGCAGGAUGAAGGCCUUCGGGUCGUAAACUGCUUUUAUGAGUGAAGAAUAUGACGGUAACUCAUGAAUAAGGGUCGGCUAACUACGUG
Molecule: ribosomal RNA, 471 nt
Filed under: uncultured bacterium
Lineage: Bacteria
Description: bacterial SSU rRNA
Rfam family: Bacterial small subunit ribosomal RNA
Source: RNAcentral